GAUGAACGCUGGCGGCGUGCCUAAUACAUGCAAGUCGAGCGAACAGACGAGGAGCUUGCUCCUCUGAUGUUAGCGGCGGACGGGUGAGUAACACGUGGAUAACCUACCUAUAAGACUGGGAUAACUUCGGGAAACCGGAGCUAAUACCGGAUAACAUGUUGAACCGCAUGGUUCAACAGUGAAAGACGGUCUUGCUGUCACUUAUAGAUGGAUCCGCGCCGCAUUAGCUAGUUGGUAAGGUAACGGCUUACCAAGGCAACGAUGCGUAGCCGACCUGAGAGGGUGAUCGGCCACACUGGAACUGAGACACGGUCCAGACUCCUACGGGAGGCAGCAGUAGGGAAUCUUCCGCAAUGGGCGAAAGCCUGACGGAGCAACGCCGCGUGAGUGAAGAAGGUCUUCGGAUCGUAAAACUCUGUUAUUAGGGAAGAACAAAUGUGUAAGUAACUAUGCACGUCUUGACGGUACCUAAUUAGAAAGCCACGGCUAACUACGUG
This 497-nucleotide ribosomal RNA is filed under the name uncultured bacterium. RNAcentral's name for it is "partial 16S ribosomal RNA". It matches the Rfam family "Bacterial small subunit ribosomal RNA", at positions 28 to 507 of the family's 1533-position model. The record is from RNAcentral.